Molecule: long non-coding RNA, 303 nt
Filed under: Bos taurus (domestic cattle)
Lineage: Eukaryota; Metazoa; Chordata; Mammalia; Artiodactyla; Bovidae
Description: long non-coding RNA NONBTAT011309
Source: RNAcentral
AAUUGAAAAGGGACUUUUCUACCAGGUCUGACCUUUUAAGUUAAAAUCUGAACUGUUCCAAGUGGAACAAAAAAAGUUGCAAUCUGUGCCCUUCCCUGGGGAGAUUCCUCUAGGACUGGUUAGGGAGGGGUGGAAAUGACUCUUAGGCAAUGGGAGGGCGAGCUCUUAGAAAGGAGGGAAUGGUGGGGUGAAGGCAUUCUGGAGAUGCUCGGGGGGUGGGGUUGCCCCUUCUGCAGGGGUUGAGGGAGGGGAGCAGUUGAACGGGUCUGGGGAAAAGGGAGAGGCUUUCAGCUGCUUUGCAAA